RNAcentral lists this ribosomal RNA (249 nucleotides) under uncultured bacterium. Its description in RNAcentral is "partial 16S ribosomal RNA". It matches the Rfam family "Bacterial small subunit ribosomal RNA", at positions 1255 to 1500 of the family's 1533-position model. The record is from RNAcentral.
ACGCGAGUGUGAGCGAAUCUCAAAAAUAAACGUCUCAGUUCGGAUUGUAGUCUGCAACUCGACUACAUGAAGCUGGAAUCGCUAGUAAUCGCGGAUCAGAAUGCCGCGGUGAAUACGUUCCCGGGUCUUGUACACACCGCCCGUCACACCAUGGGAGUCAGUAACGCCCGAAGCCGGUGACCCAACCUAACAAGGAGGGAGCCGUCGAAGGCGGGACGGAUGACUGGGGUGAAGUCGUAACAAGGUAAC